UCCAGCCGACUGCGUGGAGGAGAUCCCGGCCAAGACCUCCGACGAGAGGAGCUAUUCCCGGGCGGAUCGUGCCGACAGACGGAAGCUCUUCAGACAUUACACUGUGGGCUCCUACGACAGCUUCGAUGCUUCCAGGUGAGCCGGUCGUCCUUGUGGGAGCAUGAAUAUGAAUGAGGUUCUGUCGGAUCACACCGGGUCGGCGGACCAACAUCAUCAUUCGUGCAGCGGUUCUAAACCCCGGCAUCGAAGUUCUGACCUUCCUCCGUCUGUCCAGGGCGGAGAGAGAGAGAGAGAGAUGGAGCUGCGGAGGAUGAAGUGCAGGCAGAUUUACUCCAACUUGUAAAAACUGCUUAAAUAAGAAAUGAGCGUUCUGACAACUGAAUGAACGUUUAACGAUGAUUUCACGGCUGUAGCUGAUAUUUAAUCAUUUCCAUUGAUUCAUCUCUUUUUAGAUUAUAAAUGAAUGUAUGAAGGUUGUGAAUCACAUGUUCUGACAGCUCUGGGUUCGUCCCUCUGACCUCUGAGCUUUAAUAAGAAGAGUCAGAUUCAGAGACGGAACACAAACACAAAACCUUGAUUCAUUUCCACGUCCAAGAAGUGACAAAACAUGAAAUAAAGUGAAACUUGAGUUCAGGUUUGAAGCUCUGGAGUUUGUUCCUUAUUUUCCCACCACACACUUGUGAUUAAAUAUACUUCAGAGGUUGAUAAUGUUCCUUUUGAUUCUGCUGUAUUGAUCAGACAGCUGGUUUCAUCAUUAUUUGUCACAUUCAGUCUUUAUUACUGUGAUGCAUUGUUAAAGAUUAAAGAUUGAACAGCCAAACUGUAUAAAAAGCAUUUUAAACUCAUGUAGU
Long non-coding RNA from Acanthopagrus latus (yellowfin seabream), 851 nucleotides. RefSeq lists it as uncharacterized. The transcript is spliced from 3 exons. Lineage: Eukaryota; Metazoa; Chordata; Actinopteri; Spariformes; Sparidae. The record is from RefSeq and is a predicted model, not a curated record.